UGAUCCUGGCUCAGGAUGAACGCUGGCGGUCUGCUUAACACAUGCAAGUCGAACGGGCUCUUCGGAGCUAGUGGCGGACGGGUGAGUAACGCGUGAGAAUCUGCCUUCAGGAGGGGGAUAACGACUGGAAACGGUCGCUAAUACCCCAUAUGCCUCCGGGUGAAAAGUAAUUCGCCUGAAGAUGAGCUCGCGUCAGAUUAGCUAGUUGGUGGGGUAAGAGCCUACCAAGGCGACGAUCUGUAGCUGGUCUGAGAGGAUGAUCAGCCACACUGGGACUGAGACACGGCCCAGACUCCUACGGGAGGCAGCAGUGGGGAAUUUUCCGCAAUGGGCGCAAGCCUGACGGAGCAAGACCGAGUGGGGGAUGACGGCCUAAUGGUUGUAAACCCCUUUUCUCUGGGAAGAAGACUGACGGUACCAGAGGAAUCAGCCUCGGCUAACUCCGUGCCAGCAGCCGCGGUAAUACGGAGGGGGCAAGCGUUAUCCGAAAUUAUUGGGCGUAAAGCGUC
Molecule: ribosomal RNA, 509 nt
Filed under: uncultured organism
Description: bacterial SSU rRNA
Rfam family: Bacterial small subunit ribosomal RNA
Source: RNAcentral